RNAcentral lists this ribosomal RNA (267 nucleotides) under uncultured bacterium. RNAcentral describes it as "partial 16S ribosomal RNA". It matches the Rfam family "Bacterial small subunit ribosomal RNA", at positions 793 to 1055 of the family's 1533-position model. The record is from RNAcentral.
GUCCACGCCCUAAACGAUGGAUGCUAGACGUAAGAGGUAUCGACCCCUCUUGUGUCGCAGCUAACGCAUUAAGCAUCCCGCCUGGGGAGUACGGCCGCAAGGUUGAAACUCAAAUGAAUUGACGGGGACCCGCACAAGCGGUGGAGCAUGUGGAUUAAUUCGAUACUAACCGAAGAACCUUACCCAGGUUUGACAUCGAUCGAAAAGCCUAGAGAUAGGCUCCUGAACCACAAGUUCACGUGAAGACAGAUGUUGCAUGGCUGUCGU